This 305-nucleotide ribosomal RNA is filed under the name uncultured bacterium. Its description in RNAcentral is "bacterial SSU rRNA". It matches the Rfam family "Bacterial small subunit ribosomal RNA", at positions 331 to 655 of the family's 1533-position model. The record is from RNAcentral.
UUCUACCUACGGGACGCAGCAGUGGGGGAUAUUGCACAAUGGGGGAAACCCUGAUGCAGCGACGCCGCGUGAGUGAAGAAGUAAUUCGUUACGUAAAGCUCUAUCAGCAGGGAAGAAAAUGACGGUACCUGACUAAGAAGCCCCGGCUAACUACGUGCCAGCAGCCGCGGUAAUACGUAGGGGGCAAGCGUUAUCCGGAAUUACUGGGUGUAAAGGGAGCGCAGACGGCAGUGCAAGUCUGGAGUGAAAGCCCGUGGCUUAACCACGGGACUGCUCUGGAACCUGUGCAGCGAGAGGGAAGGAGA